AAGAAAGCUAAUUUACAGAAAGCAAGUUUCCCAGAUCCACUGUUGCCAGCUUUCUUUCUUUCCUUAUCUUUGGCAAUUUCUCUGGCUCAGGCAUUGAAGAUGGAAAUGCUUGUCUCUUUUUAAAAGAAGCUGAAAAUGCCAAGCAAGAGGGUGAAACUAGAAUCCGACGAAAUGCUGAAAAGGAUUUUUGCAAGGAAUAUGAAAAACAAGUGAGAAAUGGAAGACUUUUUUGUACACGGGAGAGUGAUCCAGUCCGUGGCCCUGACGGCAGGAUGCAUGGCAACAAAUGUGCCCUGUGUGCUGAAAUUUUCAAGCGGCGUUUUUCAGAGGAAAACAGUAAAACAGAUCAAAAUUUGGGAAAAACUGAAGAAAAAACUAAAGUUAAAAGAGAAAUUGUGAAACUCUGCAGUGAAUAUCAAAAUCAGGCAAAGAAUGGAAUACUUUUCUGUACCAGAGAAAAUGACCCUAUUCGUGGUCCAGAUGGGAAAAUGCAUGGCAACUUGUGUUCCAUGUGUCAAGCCUACUUCCAAGCAGAAAAUGAAGAAAAGAAAAAGGCUGAAGCACAAGCUAGAAACAAAAGAGAAUCUGGAAAAGCAACCUCAUAUGCAGAGAUUUGCAGUGAAUAUCGAAAGCUUGUGAGGAACGGAAAACUUGCUUGCACCAGAGAGAACGAUCCUAUCCAGGGCCCAGAUGGGAAAGUGCAUGGCAACACCUGCUCCAUGUGUGAGGUCUUCUUCCAAGCAGAAGAAGAAGAAAAGAAAAAGAAGGAAGGUGAAUCAAGAAACAAAAGACAAUCUAAGAGUACAGCUU
This 810-nucleotide small RNA is filed under the name Pongo abelii (Sumatran orangutan). RNAcentral describes it as "processed transcript". Lineage: Eukaryota; Metazoa; Chordata; Mammalia; Primates; Hominidae. The record is from RNAcentral.